This 468-nucleotide ribosomal RNA is filed under the name uncultured bacterium. RNAcentral describes it as "partial 16S ribosomal RNA". It matches the Rfam family "Bacterial small subunit ribosomal RNA", at positions 28 to 507 of the family's 1533-position model. The record is from RNAcentral.
GAUGAACGCUGGCGGCGUGCUUAACACAUGCAAGUCGAACGGAAAGGCCCAAGCUUGCUUGGGUACUCGAGUGGCGAACGGGUGAGUAACACGUGGGUGAUCUGCCCUGCACUUCGGGAUAAGCCUGGGAAACUGGGUCUAAUACCGGAUAGGACGAUGGUUUGGAUGCCAUUGUGGAAAGUUUUUUCGGUGUGGGAUGAGCUCGCGGCCUAUCAGCUUGUUGGUGGGGUAAUGGCCUACCAAGGCGUCGACGGGUAGCCGGCCUGAGAGGGUGUACGGCCACAUUGGGACUGAGAUACGGCCCAGACUCCUACGGGAGGCAGCAGUGGGGAAUAUUGCACAAUGGGCGCAAGCCUGAUGCAGCGACGCCGCGUGGGGGAUGACGGCCUUCGGGUUGUAAACUCCUUUCGCUAGGGACGAAGCGUUUUUGUGACGGUACCUGGAGAAGAAGCACCGGCUAACUGCGUG